RNAcentral lists this ribosomal RNA (406 nucleotides) under uncultured bacterium. RNAcentral's name for it is "partial 16S ribosomal RNA". It matches the Rfam family "Bacterial small subunit ribosomal RNA", at positions 30 to 526 of the family's 1533-position model. The record is from RNAcentral.
AUUGAACGCUGGCGGCAGGCCUAACACAUGCAAGUCGAACGAGUGGCGGACGGGUGAGUAAUGUCUGGGAAACUGCCCGAUGGAGGGGGAUAACUACUGGAAACGGUAGCUAAUACCGCAUACCAUCGGAUGUGCCCAGAUGGGAUUAGCUAGUAGGUGGGGUAACGGCUCACCUAGGCGACGAUCCCUAGCUGGUCUGAGAGGAUGACCAGCCACACUGGAACUAGAACACGGUCCAAGCUCAUAUGGAAGGCAGCAGUGGGGAAUAUUGCACAAUGGGCACAAGCCGGAUGCAGCCAGGCCGCUUGUAUGAAGAAGGCCAUCGGGUUGUAAAGUACUUUCAGCGAGGAGGCGUUACUCGCAGAAGAAGCACCGGCUAACUCCGUGCCAGCAGCCGCGGUAAUUC